Molecule: ribosomal RNA, 253 nt
Filed under: uncultured bacterium
Lineage: Bacteria
Description: partial 16S ribosomal RNA
Rfam family: Bacterial small subunit ribosomal RNA
Source: RNAcentral
UACGUAGGGGGCAAGCGUUGUCCGGAAUCAUUGGGCGUAAAGAGCGUGUAGGCGGCCCGGUAAGUCCGCUGUAAAAGUCAAAGGCUCAACCUUUGAAUGUCAGUGGAUACUGCCGGGCUAGAGUCCGGAAGAGGCGAGUGGAACUCCUGGUGUAGCGGUGGAAUGCGCAGAUAUCAGGAAGAACACCCGUGGCGAAGGCGGCUCUCUGGGACGGUACUGACGCUGAGACGCGAAAGCGUGGGGAGCGAACAGG